RNAcentral lists this ribosomal RNA (1323 nucleotides) under alkali sediment metagenome. RNAcentral describes it as "bacterial LSU rRNA". It matches the Rfam family "Bacterial large subunit ribosomal RNA", at positions 1061 to 2408 of the family's 2925-position model. The record is from RNAcentral.
AAGUGGUAAAGGAGGUGGGAGUGCAUAGACAAUCAGGAGGUUUGCUUAGAAGCAGCAAUCCUUUAAAGAGUGCGUAAUAGCUCACUGAUCGAGUAAACCUGCGCCGAAAAUGUACGGGACUAAGUAAUUUGCCGAAACUGUGCGAUAUAUGAAAUAUAUCGGUAGGGGAGCGUUCUGUUGUAGGUUGAAGUAUUAGCGGAAGCGGAUAUGGACGAAGCAGAAGUGAGAAUGUCGGCUUGAGUAACGAAAAUAUAGGUGAGAAUCCUAUACCCCGAAAACCCAAGGUUUCCUCCGGAAGGCUCGUCCGCGGAGGGUAAGUCAGGACCUAAGGCGAGGCUGAAAAGCGUAGUCGAUGGACGACGGGUUAAUAUUCCCGUACCAUUCUUUGUUGAUAUCGAGGGACGGAGAAGGCUAAGCUGGCCGGAUAUUGGUUACCGGUUUAAACGUUCGAGAUGAUGAGAAACGGCGAAAACGUUUUGAGUUGAGGCGUGAAUACGAGAUGCUACGGCGUCGAAGCAGUCUAUGUCAUACUUCCAAGAAAAGCUUGCACUGUCAUAAACAAAGAAUGCCUGUACCAUAACCGACACAGGUGGGUAGGUAGAGUAUACUAAGGGGCGCGAGAUAACUCUCUCUAAGGAACUCGGCAAAAUGACUCCGUAACUUCGGGAGAAGGAGUGCCUUAUUUAUAAGGUUGCAAUAACAAGAUCCAAGCAACUGUUUACCAAAAACACAGGUCUCCGCUAAGUCGUAAGACGAUGUAUGGGGGCUGACGCCUGCCCAGUGCCAGAAGGUUAAAGAAGUUGGUUAGCAUGCGCGAAGCUGGUAACUGAAGCCCUGGUGAACGGCGGCCGUAACUAUAACGGUCCUAAGGUAGCGAAAUUCCUUGUCGGGUAAGUUCCGACCCGCACGAAAGGCGUAAUGAUUUGGAGGCUGUCUCGGAGAGGGACUCGGUGAAAUAGACUUGUCUGUGAAGAUGCGGACUACCUGCACCAGGACAGAAAGACCCUAUGAAGCUUUACUGUAGCUUGGUAUUGUGCCCGGGCUCUGUAUGCGCAGGAUAGGUGGGAGGCUUUGAUCCAUUGCUUGCGGGUGAUGGUGAGCCAACGGUGAGAUACCACUCUGUCAGAGCUAGAAUUCUAACCUUCAGCCAUUAUCUGGCGAAGGAACAGUUUCAGGCGGGCAGUUUGACUGGGGCGGUCGCCUCCCAAACGGUAACGGAGGCGUACAAAGGUUUCCUCUGAACGAGUAGAAAUCGUAUCUAGAGUGUAAAGGCAUAAGGAAGCUUGACUGUGAGACCUACAAGUCGAGCAGGCACGAAAGUCG